Long non-coding RNA from Electrophorus electricus (electric eel), 242 nucleotides. RefSeq lists it as uncharacterized. NCBI's taxonomy places the organism in Eukaryota, Metazoa, Chordata, Actinopteri, Gymnotiformes, Gymnotidae. The record is from RefSeq and is a predicted model, not a curated record.
CUGUCUGAGAUGGUGAAGGGGACAAUGUAAACAUCUGGGGCCAGAUAGGCGAUAUUCAGCGACAGCUCUUUAAUGUUCCACUGGGUAAGAGGAGGCUGAAGAGGCUGCGGUGACGGCGAGAGCAAACCGAAACGCGCGUAUCUCCAGCUUCUGUCUCUGCUGUCAGAGGCCAAGACCAUCACCCCCUCUUGGGGCAUGUGGGAGGGAGGCCGUAACCUCUAGCCAGGGACUGGCUAUGUGCA